RNAcentral lists this ribosomal RNA (283 nucleotides) under uncultured Basidiomycota. RNAcentral's name for it is "partial 18S ribosomal RNA". It matches the Rfam family "Eukaryotic small subunit ribosomal RNA", at positions 548 to 836 of the family's 1831-position model. Lineage: Eukaryota; Fungi; Basidiomycota. The record is from RNAcentral.
UUGGAGGGCAAGUCUGGUGCCUGCAGCCGCGGUAAUUCCAGCUCCAAUAGCGUAUAUUAAAGUUGUUGCAGUUAAAAAAGCUCGUAGUUGAACUUCAGACCUGACCGGGUGGUCCGCCUAACGGUGUGUACUGUCUGGCCGGGCCUUACCUCUUGGUGAGCCGGCAUGCCCUUAAUUGGGUGUGUCGGGGAACCAGGACCUUUACCUUGAGAAAAUUAGAGUGUUCAAAGCAGGCUUACGCCGGAAUACAUUAGCAUGGAAUAAUAAAAUAGGACGUGCGGUU